AUAGCAUUCUAUAUAUACAUAUACAUAUAUAUAUCAACUCUAUACAUUCUAUACUAGGACAUAACUGAGAACAGUGAAAUGUAACAGUUUCGCGGUAGUUAUGCUGACUGUGAAUUUAAAAUAAAACUAAAAUGGGCAAACGUUUCGAGAGUAACUUUAUCAUAACAUCUCAUCCUCUUUAUGCUUUGACCUUAAUUAAAUAUCAAUAAUAAUAAUACUAAUAAUAAUGGCUGAACAUCUUGUGCAUAAAAAAAGAGAAAUUUCUUUUUUACUUUCGUGACAAGAAAAAAAUUUCAUUAUUUAAGAAUGGAUUUUUUAUUGAGAUAAACAUUAAGAGAUGGGAGUUCUUGGCAAAGUAAUCACGUAUUUUUUUUUUUUAUCUUUUAAAUGAUAAGAUAGUCACGAAGAAGUAGAGAUGAUUUUUAAAAUAAAAGUAAAAGAACUAUGUAUAUAAAUCAAAAAAGGUAUUUCUCAUAUUUAUUAGACGUAAAAAAUUGCCAGUUUAUUUUUCGGGUGAGAGAUUUAAAAAAAAAAAGAAAUUUUUUUAACGAGUCGCUGGUACACUAACGGGAAAACUUGAUGAUAAAUCGGGGCAGUAAAAAUUGUUGGAGUUCAAACUUUAUUCACUCAUGGAAAAGGAAUCUAUUCGAUAUCUAGGCUCGGAAAGCGUCAAAUAAUUAUUAUAGAAGCCUAAAAGUGUUUGAAAUAAAUAGAAAAUUUAAUAAACUGAUCAUUUGUAAGGAGAAAAAAAAUUAAAAUUUUCGAUAAUUAUGUUAUUUUUGUAUUAUUGAGAACCAGAAUUUCGAUUUUAAUAUGCACAAAAAUAUCCAGAAAUGUUUUAAGGCACCAGAGACAGAAUAAAUUGAAUAAAAAAUGAGUGAGCUCGUAAGAAGAUAAACGAAUCAAACUUUCAUCAAUAUAAAUUAUUUUUUUUUUAAAGAAUUAAAUCAAUGUUUAGGCUUGAAAAUAAACAAAUGAUUAUUGAAGCCUCUAAAUACUUAAAAUGAAAAAAAUAAAUAAAUUGAUGAGUUUUGAAGAUACCCAAAUUUUGUUGCGUAAACAUCAAAAUUUCUUAUCUUUAUAUUAUUUUUGUAUUAUUGAAGACCAGAAUCUAGUUAUGAGGCUACAAAAUAAAUAUAUGUAUAUAUAAAUGUUUAGGGCACUAGAACACUGAGAAUUAAAUUAUGCCCUACAUUCGUAAAGAAAAAAAAUUUAAUUUCUGGUAAUUAUACUUUUUUUUUUAUAACUUCUGCGUUUAAAGUUCAAUAUUCGAGCGUCAUGUAGUGGGAGUGAAAUAGGUCUUUCUCUCGAUAAUUGACGAAACUAUAGAACGAUAUCGAGAAAAAUCAGCUGUUUCACUUUUCAGCAUGAUUUUACUGUGCUGAAAAGUAAUUUUCUAUAGGAAUUAUAUACAAAUCAGGAAGCGACCAUCAUUCACUCUAGACAGAAAGAGAUAGAGAAAAUCAUCUCCCUGUAUACUCGUAUCACCUUGUUUAUUUAUUCGCGCACGUAACUCAAAAAUAAACUAAAAUAAAAAUACUCUUUUGUACUGAUAAAUAUUUUAAAAAAAUGAUGUUACUAAAUUUUUAUUUAAAUGUAACUCAUAGAUAAAUAAAAAAAUGUGAAACUGAAUCGAAAAACAAAACAUAUAGGGUAUAGAAGUAUGGUAUACCAUUUGUGGCC
This is a long non-coding RNA of Microplitis mediator, 1683 nucleotides long. RefSeq lists it as uncharacterized. The transcript is spliced from 3 exons. NCBI's taxonomy places the organism in Eukaryota, Metazoa, Arthropoda, Insecta, Hymenoptera, Braconidae. The record is from RefSeq and is a predicted model, not a curated record.